CCUACGGGCGGCAGCAGUGGGGAAUAUUGCACAAUGGGGGAAACCCUGAUGCAGCGACGCCGCGGGAGUGAAGAAGUAUUUCGGUAUGUAAAGCUCUAUCAGCCGGGACGAAAAUGACAGUACCUGUACAAGAAGCCCCUGCUAACUACGUGCAAGCAGCCGCGGUAAUACGUAGGGGGCAAGCGCUAUCCGGAUUUACUGGGUGUAAAGGGAGCGUAGACGGUUCUGUAAGUCUGGAGUGAAAGCCCUGGGCGCAACCCCGGUACUGCUUUGGAAACUGUGUCACUGGAGGACAGGAGGGGCAGGCGGAAUUCCUGGUGUAGCGGUGAAAUGCGUAGAGAUCAGGAGGAACACCGGCGGCGAAGGCGGCCUGCUGGACUGAAACUGACGUUGAGGCUCGAAAGCGUGGGGAGCAAACAGGAUUAGAUACCCCGGUAGUC
RNAcentral lists this ribosomal RNA (440 nucleotides) under uncultured bacterium. RNAcentral describes it as "partial 16S ribosomal RNA". It matches the Rfam family "Bacterial small subunit ribosomal RNA", at positions 338 to 795 of the family's 1533-position model. The record is from RNAcentral.